This 72-nucleotide transfer RNA is filed under the name Camelus bactrianus (Bactrian camel). It matches the Rfam family "tRNA". Rfam says of the family: Transfer RNA (tRNA) molecules are approximately 80 nucleotides in length. Their secondary structure includes four short double-helical elements and three loops (D, anti-codon, and T loops). Further hydrogen bonds mediate the characteristic L-shaped molecular structure. tRNAs have two regions of fundamental functional importance: the anti-codon, which is responsible for specific mRNA codon recognition, and the 3' end, to which the tRNAs corresponding amino acid is attached (by aminoacyl-tRNA synthetases). tRNAs cope with the degeneracy of the genetic code in two manners: having more than one tRNA (with a specific anti-codon) for a particular amino acid; and 'wobble' base-pairing, i.e. permitting non-standard base-pairing at the 3rd anti-codon position. Lineage: Eukaryota; Metazoa; Chordata; Mammalia; Artiodactyla; Camelidae. The record is from Rfam by way of RNAcentral. RNAcentral also lists the same sequence under 2 other names.
GAGGGGAUAGCUCAGUGGUAGAGCACAUGCUUAGCGUGCAUGAGGUCCUGGGUGCAAUCCCCAGUACCUCCA